RNAcentral lists this ribosomal RNA (483 nucleotides) under uncultured bacterium. RNAcentral describes it as "partial 16S ribosomal RNA". It matches the Rfam family "Bacterial small subunit ribosomal RNA", at positions 28 to 523 of the family's 1533-position model. The record is from RNAcentral.
GAUGAACGCUGGCGGCGUGCCUAAUACAUGCAAGUCGAGCGAACCACUUCGGUGGUGAGCGGCGAACGGGUGAGUAACACGUAGGUGAUCUGCCCAUCAGACGGGGACAACGAUUGGAAACGAUCGCUAAUACCGGAUAGGACGAAAGUUUAAAGGUGCUUCUGGCACCGCUGAUGGAUGAGCCUGCGGCGCAUUAGCUAGUUGGUAGGGUAAAGGCCUACCAAGGCGACGAUGCGUAGCCGACCUGAGAGGGUGAACGGCCACACUGGGACUGAGACACGGCCCAGACUCCUACGGGAGGCAGCAGUAGGGAAUCUUCGGCAAUGGGAGAAAGGCUGACCGAGCAACGCCGCGUGAAUGAUGAAGGCCUUCGGGUUGUAAAAUUCUGUUAUAAGGGAAGAACGACUUUAGUAGGAAAUGGCUAGAGUGUGACGGUACCUUAUGAGAAAGCCACGGCUAGCUACGUGCCAGCAGCCGCAGUAA